GAUGAACGCUGGCGGCAGGCUUAAUACAUGCAAGUCGUGGGGCAGCGCAGGUAGCAAUACUGGGCGGCGACCGGCAAACGGGUGCGGAACACGUACACAACCUUCCGAGAAGUGGGGAAUAGCCCAGAGAAAUUUGGAUUAAUACCCCGUAACAUAACGAUGUGGCAUCACAUUGUUAUUAUAGCUUCGGCGCUUCUUGAUGGGUGUGCGGCUGAUUAGAUAGUUGGCGGGGUAACGGCCCACCAAGUCUACGAUCAGUAGCUGAUGUGAGAGCAUGAUCAGCCACACGGGCACUGAGACACGGGCCCGACUCCUACGGGAGGCAGCAGUAAGGAAUAUUGGUCAAUGGACGCAAGUCUGAACCAGCCAUGCCGCGUGAAGGAUUAAGGUCCUCUGGAUUGUAAACUUCUUUUAUCUGGGACGAAAAAAGGCGAUUCUUCGUCACUUGACGGUACCAGAUGAAUAAGCACCGGCUAACUCCGUGCCAGCCGCCGCCGUAA
Molecule: ribosomal RNA, 500 nt
Filed under: uncultured bacterium
Lineage: Bacteria
Description: partial 16S ribosomal RNA
Rfam family: Bacterial small subunit ribosomal RNA
Source: RNAcentral